GACGAACGCUGGCGGCGUGCUUAACACACGCAAGUCGAACGGAAAGGCCCUGCUUGCAGGGUACUCGAGUGGCGAACGGGUGAGUAACACGUGGGUGAUCUGCCCUGCACUUCGGGAUAAGCCUGGGAAACUGGGUCUAAUACCGGAUAGGAGCCAUUUUUAGUGUGAUGGUUGGAAAGUUUUUUCGGUGUAGGAUGAGCUCGCGGCCUAUCAGCUUGUUGGUGGGGUAAUGGCCUACCAAGGCGGCGACGGGUAGCCGGCCUGAGAGGGUGGACGGCCACAUUGGGACUGAGAUACGGCCCAGACUCCUACGGGAGGCAGCAGUGGGGAAUAUUGCACAAUGGGCGCAAGCCUGAUGCAGCGACGCCGCGUGGGGGAUGACGGCCUUCGGGUUGUAAACUCCUUUCGCUAGGGACGAAGCUUUUUGUGACGGUACCUAGAGAAGAAGCACCGGCUAACUACGUG
This 465-nucleotide ribosomal RNA is filed under the name uncultured bacterium. RNAcentral's name for it is "partial 16S ribosomal RNA". It matches the Rfam family "Bacterial small subunit ribosomal RNA", at positions 28 to 507 of the family's 1533-position model. The record is from RNAcentral.